This 550-nucleotide ribosomal RNA is filed under the name Ralstonia sp. M24T1B. RNAcentral's name for it is "bacterial SSU rRNA". It matches the Rfam family "Bacterial small subunit ribosomal RNA", at positions 56 to 594 of the family's 1533-position model. The record is from RNAcentral. Lineage: Bacteria; Pseudomonadati; Pseudomonadota; Betaproteobacteria; Burkholderiales; Burkholderiaceae.
UGCAAGUCGAACGGCAGCAUGAUCUAGCUUGCUAGAUUGAUGGCGNAGUGGCGAACGGGUGAGUAAUACAUCGGAACGUGCCCUGUAGUGGGGGAUAACUAGUCGAAAGAUUAGCUAAUACCGCAUACGACCUGAGGGUGAAAGUGGGGGACCGCAAGGCCUCAUGCUAUAGGAGCGGCCGAUGUCUGAUUAGCUAGUUGGUGGGGUAAAGGCCCACCAAGGCGACGAUCAGUAGCUGGUCUGAGAGGACGAUCAGCCACACUGGGACUGAGACACGGCCCAGACUCCUACGGGAGGCAGCAGUGGGGAAUUUUGGACAAUGGGCGAAAGCCUGAUCCAGCAAUGCCGCGUGUGUGAAGAAGGCCUUCGGGUUGUAAAGCACUUUUGUCCGGAAAGAAAUGGCUCUGGUUAAUACCUGGGGUCGAUGACGGUACCGGAAGAAUAAGGACCGGCUAACUACGUGCCAGCAGCCGCGGUAAUACGUAGGGUCCAAGCGUUAAUCGGAAUUACUGGGCGUAAAGCGUGCGCAGGCGGUUGUGCAAGACCGAUG